GAUGAACGCUGGCGGCGUGCCUAAUACAUGCAAGUCGAGCGAACGGACGAGAAGCUUGCUUCUCUGAUGUUAGCGGCGGACGGGUGAGUAACACGUGGAUAACCUACCUAUAAGACUGGGAUAACUUCGGGAAACCGUAGCUAAUACCGGAUAAUAUUUUGAACCGCAUGGUUCAACAGUGAAAGACGGUCUUGCUGUCACUUAUAGAUGGAUCCGCGCUGCAUUAGCUAGUUGGUAAGGUAACGGCUUACCAAGGCAACGAUGCAUAGCCGACCUGAGAGGGUGAUCAGCCACACUGGAACUGAGACACGGUCCAGACUCCUACGGGAGGCAGCAGUAGGGAAUCUUCGGCAAUGGGCGAAAGCCUGACGGAGCAACGCCGCGUGAGUGAUGAAGGUCUUCGGAUCGUAAAACUCUGUUAUUAGGGAAGAACAUAUGUGUAAGUAACUGUGCACAUCUUGACGGUACCUAAUCAGAAAGCCACGGCUAACUACGUG
This 497-nucleotide ribosomal RNA is filed under the name uncultured bacterium. RNAcentral describes it as "partial 16S ribosomal RNA". It matches the Rfam family "Bacterial small subunit ribosomal RNA", at positions 28 to 507 of the family's 1533-position model. The record is from RNAcentral.